AGUGAACGCUGGCGGUAGGCCUAACACAUGCAAGUCGAACGGCAGCACAGGAGAGCUUGCUCUCUGGGUGGCGAGUGGCGGACGGGUGAGGAAUACAUCGGAAUCUGCCCAGUCGUGGGGGAUAACGUAGGGAAACUUACGCUAAUACCGCAUACGACCUUCGGGUGAAAGAGGGGGAUCGCAAGACCUCUCGCGAUUGGAUGAGCCGAUGUCGGAUUAGCUAGUUGGCGGGGUAAUGGCCCACCAAGGCGACGAUCCGUAGCUGGUCUGAGAGGAUGAUCAGCCACACUGGAACAGAGACACGGUCCAGACUCCUACGGGAGGCAGCAGUGGGGAAUAUUGGACAAAGGGCGCAAGCCUGAUCCAGCCAUACCGCGUGGGUGAAGAAGGCCUUCGGGUUGUAAAGCCCUUUUGUUGGGAAAGAAAUCUUUCAGGCUAAUACCCUGGGAGGAUGACGGUACCCAAAGAAUAAGCACCGGCUAACUUCGUG
This 490-nucleotide ribosomal RNA is filed under the name uncultured bacterium. Its description in RNAcentral is "partial 16S ribosomal RNA". It matches the Rfam family "Bacterial small subunit ribosomal RNA", at positions 29 to 507 of the family's 1533-position model. The record is from RNAcentral.